This is a non-coding RNA of Megalopta genalis, 318 nucleotides long. The record is from RefSeq and is a predicted model, not a curated record. Lineage: Eukaryota; Metazoa; Arthropoda; Insecta; Hymenoptera; Halictidae.
UUCAAGUUGCAUUUUAGAUGCGAACGAAUGCACAUCGUUUUCGGUUAGUGGUCGUGCGAGCUAAGUUUCGUGAAACUUUCGAGAGCAUCGGUCACGGUGUGAUUGGAUCCGGUUGUGUGCCAGUUUGUGAGAUCCAUCGUGGUUGGACUCCCGCGGCCGCGACACCGGUGCUCGAACGAGUCCACUCGACGUUAUUGCGAGGCAACGAGCGCAGACAGAACCGUCCGGAGAUCAUCUGCAGCCGGCCGACGUUCGUUUCCGAGGUAUAAUAAUUAUACGACGCUGUGCAUUCUCAACCCCUUGAAACUAAUUCUAAGC